RNAcentral lists this ribosomal RNA (171 nucleotides) under Providencia rettgeri. RNAcentral's name for it is "partial 16S ribosomal RNA". It matches the Rfam family "Bacterial small subunit ribosomal RNA", at positions 1 to 166 of the family's 1533-position model. Lineage: Bacteria; Pseudomonadati; Pseudomonadota; Gammaproteobacteria; Enterobacterales; Morganellaceae. The record is from RNAcentral.
UUAAUUGAAGAGUUUGAUCAUGGCUCAGAUUGAACGCUGGCGGCAGGCCUAACACAUGCAAGUCGAGCGGUAACAGGGGAAGCUUGCUUCUCGCUGACGAGCGGCGGACGGGUGAGUAAUGUAUGGGGAUCUGCCCGAUAGAGGGGGAUAACCACUGGAAACGGUGGCUAA